AUUGGUAGAAUUGCUUGAACUGAACCUUUUCCAAAUGUUUUCUCUCCAAUUACGAUUGCUCUUUUAUGAUCUUGUAAAGCACCACUUACAAUCUCUGAUGCUGAAGCAGAACCACCAUUUACCAGAACAACAACAGGAACAUUUGUAACUGUAUUUGAUUGUUUAGCAUUAAAUUUUUCUUCGUCCUCAGCACUUCUUCCUUUUUGAGAAACAAUUACACCUUGGUCAACAAAUAAAUCAACAACACCAAUUGCUUGAGUUAAAAGUCCUCCAGGGUUAUUUCUUA
RNAcentral lists this non-coding RNA (286 nucleotides) under uncultured Halarcobacter sp. Lineage: Bacteria; Pseudomonadati; Campylobacterota; Epsilonproteobacteria; Campylobacterales; Arcobacteraceae. The record is from RNAcentral.